GAUCAUUCAGGACGUGCCGCGUGGCAGUGGACGCUGACGCAGCGCCACGUGAGAGGCCACGCGGGCGAUCCGCGUGCCCAUGAUCAAAUGACCAAGAUACGUUCCCGCGUGCACGGAUGGCCUAAAUGUGUUCCCUCCCCCAAACGCGAUCGGACGGCCCAUAUUAGAUCUGGAUGGACGACCCAGAUUGGAUCGUGAUAAACGGUCUAGAUUCACUCUCUAUUUAGUUGCGAUCGGAUGGUGUAGAUCAAAUACUAUGGACAGCCCAGAUCAAAAGCAGAUGGAUAUAAAUAACCCCCAUCCACACCAAACCCCAACCCUAUCCGCCAGACCCCCUCGCUAGAGACAAAGACCCAGCCGUCAAGAAGGAGACCGUCGACAUCCUCCAUCACACCGAAGCCCUUUCUGACCGCCAAAAAGGGUAAAAAUUUCUUCUUUUACUUAGAAUUCAAUUCUAAACACACCCAUGUCCAAAUCAGAGCAAAAGGACUGGCCAAUUGACUGAAAAACGCAGGUGAAGCCUAGCAGCGCCGCCACGAGGAAUUUCAUAAAACGCCUCUGAUAAGGCCCUUCUCGAUUCCCAUUUUAUGUAAUUUUUUCACCAUUGUGAUCACCAUGUCUUCUCUACAGGUUGACUAGAGCAAAACACCCAACUACAGCGUGAGCCAGAGGCCGCCGCACCGCAGAGCCCCGCCGCCGAUGAGUUUUGGUUUUUUGUGUUUUUUUAGCCACUGAGGCCUUUUAACGUGUUUUCUUACAGGGAUCGAUGUGAAAUCGG
Molecule: long non-coding RNA, 778 nt
Filed under: Carica papaya (papaya)
Lineage: Eukaryota; Viridiplantae; Streptophyta; Magnoliopsida; Brassicales; Caricaceae
Description: long non-coding RNA (CPAP_LNC016684)
Source: RNAcentral